GUAAAACGACGUUAUGCAUGAACGUAAUGCUCAUAACUUCCCUCUAGACCUAGCUUGAAGCUCCAUCUACAACUGGAUAAGACUUUGGUCCUAGUCUAUACGAGUUUUUGAAAGUAAGGGAGCAAUCACCUCUUGUUCUAUCAAGAGUGCAUUGCUCCUUUUCUUUUUUUUAUGACGACUAGAGUCGUCUUUCAUUUACAGAUCGUUUUUUCGUUACAAGAAAAAGAUUUGGAUGGUUUGGUUCAUUAUUGAGUCUCCUUUUUUCUUUUCGUUUUGUAUUCAUUUUGAAUUGAUAUACCUUUGUUUUGUCAAAUUUUUCUUUUCCAUUGAAAAGAAAAGAGAAAAUUUGCUUCAGACUUCCAAUUUCGAUCUCCGAAAUAAGAAAGAGGAAUGUUUGAAAUUGAAAUCUGAAGGGGGCGGAUGUAGCCAAGUGGAAUAAGGCAGUGGAUUGUGAAUCCACCAUGCGCGCCUGUGUGAAAUUG
RNAcentral lists this unclassified non-coding RNA (482 nucleotides) under Epacris pulchella. Its description in RNAcentral is "partial miscellaneous RNA". Lineage: Eukaryota; Viridiplantae; Streptophyta; Magnoliopsida; Ericales; Ericaceae. The record is from RNAcentral.